UUUAUGGAGAGUUUGAUCCUGGCUCAGAGUGAACGCUGGCGGCGUGCCUAAUACAUGCAAGUCGAACGAUGAAGCUUCUAGCUUGCUAGAAUGCUGAUUAGUGGCGCACGGGUGAGUAACGCAUAGGUUAUGUGCCUCUUAGUUUGGGAUAGCCAUUGGAAACGAUGAUUAAUACCAGAUACUCCCUACGGGGGAAAGAUUUAUCGCUAAGAGAUCAGCCUAUGUCCUAUCAGCUUGUUGGUAAGGUAAUGGCUUACCAAGGCUAUGACGGGUAUCCGGCCUGAGAGGGUGAACGGACACACUGGAACUGAGACACGGUCCAGACUCCUACGGGAGGCAGCAGUAGGGAAUAUUGCUCAAUGGGGGAAACCCUGAAGCAGCAACGCCGCGUGGAGGAUGAAGGUUUUAGGAUUGUAAACUCCUUUUGUUAGAGAAGAUAAUGACGGUAUCUAACGAAUAAGCACCGGCUAACUCCGUGCCAGCAGCCGCGGUAAUACGGAGGGUGCAAGCGUUACUCGGAAUCACUGGGCGUAAAGAGCGCGUAGGCGGGAUAGUCAGUCAGGUGUGAAAUCCUAUGGCUUAACCAUAGAACUGCAUUUGAAACUACUAUUCUAGAGUGUGGGAGAGGUAGGUGGAAUUCUUGGUGUAGGGGUAAAAUCCGUAGAGAUCAAGAGGAAUACUCAUUGCGAAGGCGACCUGCUGGAACAUUACUGACGCUGAUUGCGCGAAAGCGUGGGGAGCAAACAGGAUUAGAUACCCUGGUAGUCCACGCCCUAAACGAUGGAUGCUAGUUGUUGGAGGGCUUAGUCUCUCCAGUAAUGCAGCUAACGCAUUAAGCAUCCCGCCUGGGGAGUACGGUCGCAAGAUUAAAACUCAAAGGAAUAGACGGGGACCCGCACAAGCGGUGGAGCAUGUGGUUUAAUUCGAAGAUACACGAAGAACCUUACCUAGGCUUGACAUUGAGAGAAUCCGCUAGAAAUAGUGGAGUGUCUAGCUUGCUAGACCUUGAAAACAGGUGCUGCACGGCUGUCGUCAGCUCGUGUCGUGAGAUGUUGGGUUAAGUCCCGCAACGAGCGCAACCCCCUUUCUUAGUUGCUAACAGGUCAUGCUGAGAACUCUAAGGAUACUGCCUCCGUAAGGAGGAGGAAGGUGGGGACGACGUCAAGUCAUCAUGGCCCUUACGCCUAGGGCUACACACGUGCUACAAUGGGGUGCACAAAGAGAAGCAAUACUGCGAAGUGGAGCCAAUCUUCAAAACGCCUCUCAGUUCGGAUUGUAGGCUGCAACUCGCCUGCAUGAAGCUGGAAUCGCUAGUAAUCGCAAAUCAGCCAUGUUGCGGUGAAUACGUUCCCGGGUCUUGUACUCACCGCCCGUCACACCAUGGGAGUUGUGUUUGCCUUAAGUCAGGAUGCUAAAUUGGCUACUGCCCACGGCACACACAGCGACUGGGGUGAAGUCGUAACAAGGUAACCGUAGGUGAACCUGCGGUUGGAUCACCUCCUUUCUAGA
RNAcentral lists this ribosomal RNA (1509 nucleotides) under Helicobacter pylori. Its description in RNAcentral is "bacterial SSU rRNA". It matches the Rfam family "Bacterial small subunit ribosomal RNA". Lineage: Bacteria; Pseudomonadati; Campylobacterota; Epsilonproteobacteria; Campylobacterales; Helicobacteraceae. The record is from RNAcentral.